Molecule: unclassified non-coding RNA, 157 nt
Filed under: uncultured Chaetothyriales
Lineage: Eukaryota; Fungi; Ascomycota; Eurotiomycetes; Chaetothyriales
Description: sequence contains ITS2
Source: RNAcentral
UCAACCAUCAAGCUUGGCUUGUAGUUGGACUUAUUGGCUGGGGAUACCCCGACCUGUCCGAAAGAUAAUGAACGGGUGCCCAGCGGCCUCAGAUGCAACGAGCUUUCUAAGCACGCAUUGAACGGUCGUUAGGCCCGGUCUUCUCUCUAUUCUCUAC